Molecule: non-coding RNA, 80 nt
Organism: Acanthosepion pharaonis
Lineage: Eukaryota; Metazoa; Mollusca; Cephalopoda; Sepiida; Sepiidae
Source: the annotation of a GenBank genome assembly
UCCGAUCACCGAAGUUAAGCAACCUCGAGCCUGAUCAAUACCUAGCUGGGUGACCGCUUGGAAAUACCAAGUGUUGUAAG